GUGUUCGCUUCAGCAGCACAUACACUAAAAUUAGAAUGAUACAAGAGAUUAGCAUGCCCCCUGAGUAAGGAUGACACACAAAUUUGCGACAGCUUCCAUGGUUUU
Molecule: small nuclear RNA, 105 nt
Organism: Lemur catta (Ring-tailed lemur)
Lineage: Eukaryota; Metazoa; Chordata; Mammalia; Primates; Lemuridae
Source: RefSeq, a predicted model, not a curated record